Pseudophryne corroboree (corroboree frog) is the source of this 128-nucleotide small nucleolar RNA. RefSeq annotates it as small nucleolar RNA SNORD22. Lineage: Eukaryota; Metazoa; Chordata; Amphibia; Anura; Myobatrachidae. The transcript has a single exon. The record is from RefSeq and is a predicted model, not a curated record.
CCCUUAUGAUGAUUACGCCACAUGUCUUACCUACUGUAUGGUGCCAGAGCCUGUAAAGGUUGAACCCACUGGUACCUUCAGUAGGAUAGGAAAGAUGAAAUGUUCCAGCAGGAACGGUCUGACAGGGC